AUGGAUAAAAGGAAAAAAUUAUAGAUUGGUUUUCUUGUUUUACGUAGAUUGUUUUAAUCUAAUGUAUGGUUUGUAAUUUUUUUAUUACAGUCUGAUGUGGAAAACAAGAGGGGUUCCUUAUCUCCAAAAUACAUAUGUGACAAUUUAUGGAAAUAUUUCAAAAAUACUCGGUUGUGCACAUAUGAACAGUUGUUCAUACCAAUAUGCAGGAAAAAUCAUUGGUAUUUAAUCAUUUUGAAUAUUCAUGCGAAAAGAAUAGAGUUGUUGGAUUCAUUAAUUGACGGAAGGAAAAAACGGAUGGAUGCCUUCAUAGAGAAACUGGUGAACGUUUUGUCAACUGUCAUUGGGAUUCAAGAAAGAAGACCAUCAGUGGACAUGACAGAAUUUGAAUUUGUUGUUCCAGAAGUUGUCCAACAAUUGAAUCCAACGGAUUGUGGCAUAUUUGUAAUCAAGUUUAUGCAAUUAUGGAGUAACCGUGGAAUUUCUCGUGCAAUUGCAAAUGUAUUAUAUUGUGG
Molecule: long non-coding RNA, 515 nt
Organism: Vitis vinifera (wine grape)
Lineage: Eukaryota; Viridiplantae; Streptophyta; Magnoliopsida; Vitales; Vitaceae
Exons: 4
Source: RefSeq, a predicted model, not a curated record